GGAACUCUGGGUAGGACAGUGACUGUAUCGAAGCGUCAGCGCAACAGACCAUGGGAACCAGGCUGAACACGACAUACCGCUGUGUGGAGGCUUUCUCGAGUUAGAUAGCUCUAUGUUGUCCGAAAAUGAGUGGAUUGUUUCUCACGAUUGCUUUACUGGCUUUACAGCAUAGAUCAAUAGUAAAUGGUCAGGCGUAUAACCUAAUAUCUUCCUGUGGAACUCAACUGCGUAAUGGAUGUAUUUUGACUUGUGUGACGGGAGAUGCCUCAGAGACUCCGAUUAUAUGGACAAAGACUGCAACUGCCCCUUAUGAAGUGAAUCGAGCAUCAUGUACCACGUCCAUUCCACAAGUUCCAGCUGAUUAUGAACUCAACUGUCCUGGAACUAACUAUACUCUAACUAUCACAACUGUAUCUGAAAGCAGGGAUGUCAGUGUUUGGACAUGUGCUACUAGUUUGGGUGGAAAGGAAAGCAAUAAUAUUACAUUAAUCCCAGUUGCAACAACAGUAUCA
Haliotis rubra (blacklip abalone) is the source of this 512-nucleotide long non-coding RNA. RefSeq lists it as uncharacterized. The record is from RefSeq and is a predicted model, not a curated record. The transcript has 4 exons. NCBI's taxonomy places the organism in Eukaryota, Metazoa, Mollusca, Gastropoda, Lepetellida, Haliotidae.